AGUGAACGCUGGCGGUAGGCCUAACACAUGCAAGUCGAACGGCAGCACAGUAAGAGCUUGCUCUUACGGGUGGCGAGUGGCGGACGGGUGAGGAAUACAUCGGACUCUACUUUUUCGUGGGGGUUAACGUAGGGAAACUUACUCUAAUAUCGCAUAUGAUGUACGGGUGAAAGCAGUGGAUCUUUGGACCUUGCGCGAUUGGAUGCGCCGAUGUCGGGUUAGCUAGUUGGGGGGGUAAAGGCCCACCAAGGCGACGAUCCGUAGCAGGUCUGAGAGGAGGGUCAGCCGCACUGGAACGGAGACACGGUCCAGAGUCCUACGGGAGGCAGCAGUGGGGAAUAUGGGACAAUGGGCGCAAGCCUGAGCCAGCCAGGCCGCGUGGGUGAAGAAGGCCUUCGGGUUGUAAAGCCCUUUUGUUGGGAAAGAAAAGCAGUAGGUUAAUACCCCGCUGUUCUGACGGUACCCAAAGAAUAAGCACCGGCUAACUUCGUG
Molecule: ribosomal RNA, 492 nt
Filed under: uncultured bacterium
Lineage: Bacteria
Description: partial 16S ribosomal RNA
Rfam family: Bacterial small subunit ribosomal RNA
Source: RNAcentral